Molecule: long non-coding RNA, 351 nt
Organism: Bombyx mori (domestic silkworm)
Lineage: Eukaryota; Metazoa; Arthropoda; Insecta; Lepidoptera; Bombycidae
Exons: 2
Source: RefSeq, a predicted model, not a curated record
UGCAAGGAAAUGAUGAAAAAGAGAAAGUGAUGAAAAGUGACAGCCGUUGCAGAAAAUAACAAAAAAAUUGACCUCAUGUCAGGAUGGGUGGCUUCCAUGAUCACGAAUCCGAAGCCUCUACAUGUUACUAGAUGUGUACGGGCAACGAUAAUGGGUUAAGAUCAGGAAAUCAAAGCCCACCUCAACCAUAAAACUCGUGUUCGAAUUAGUGUGCUGAGAGGCAUGGGUCAUAGCGGAGUGCGUGCUCUCUACGGAGGACACCCAGGAGGUGGUCGAGUCCCCCGAGCCGGAGCGAACCGAGCCACCGCCGUGCUUGUCCAAGUCGCCCGCACUGCGCGGCUUGCCGAGCCU